This 483-nucleotide ribosomal RNA is filed under the name uncultured bacterium. Its description in RNAcentral is "partial 16S ribosomal RNA". It matches the Rfam family "Bacterial small subunit ribosomal RNA", at positions 30 to 506 of the family's 1533-position model. The record is from RNAcentral.
AUUGAACGCUGGCGGCAGGCCUAACACAUGCAAGUCGAGCGGAUGAAGGGAGCUUGCUCCUGGAUUCAGCGGCGGACGGGUGAGUAAUGCCUAGGAAUCUGCCUUGUAGUGGGGGAUAACGUCCGGAAACGGGCGCUAAUACCGCAUACGUCCUGAGGGAGAAAGGGGGGGAUCUUCGGACCUCACGCUAUCAGAUGAGCCUAGGUCGGAUUAGCUAGUUGCUGGGGUAAAGCCCUACGAAGGCGACGAUCCGUAACUGGUCUGAGAGGAUGAUCAGUCACAUGGGAACUGGGAAACGGUCCAGAUCCUUACGGGAGGCAGCAGUGGGGAAUAUUGGAAAUGGGGCGAAAGCCUGAUGCAGCCAGGCGGCGGGUGUGAAGAAGGUCUUCGGAUUGUAAAGCACUUUAAGUUGGGAGGAAGGGCAGUAAGUUAACACCUCGCUGUUUUGACGUUACCAACAGAAUAAGCACCGGCUACCUUCGU